Molecule: long non-coding RNA, 155 nt
Organism: Bradysia coprophila
Lineage: Eukaryota; Metazoa; Arthropoda; Insecta; Diptera; Sciaridae
Source: RefSeq, a predicted model, not a curated record
AAAGAAUGAUUCUGAUUAUCGGUCAAUAAUUAACCAAGAGAUGACUUGAUGAGUGUUUUAUUUCAGUUACAGUCAGUGAAAUGUAGACACGAAUUUAUUUCAGCUGUUUUUCAUCUGGUCCACUCAUACAAACAAUAGAGUGAUUGUAUAAAUGG